This 670-nucleotide ribosomal RNA is filed under the name uncultured bacterium. RNAcentral's name for it is "bacterial SSU rRNA". It matches the Rfam family "Bacterial small subunit ribosomal RNA", at positions 8 to 669 of the family's 1533-position model. The record is from RNAcentral.
AGAGUUUGAUCAUGGCUCAGAUUGAACGCUGGCGGCAGGCCUAACACAUGCAAGUCGAGCGGUAGCACAGAGAGCUUGCUCUCGGGUGACGAGCGGCGGACGGGUGAGUAAUGUCUGGGAAACUGCCUGAUGGAGGGGGAUAACUACUGGAAACGGUAGCUAAUACCGCAUAACGUCGCAAGACCAAAGUGGGGGACCUUCGGGCCUCAUGCCAUCAGAUGUGCCCAGAUGGGAUUAGCUAGUAGGUGGGGUAAUGGCUCACCUAGGCGACGAUCCCUAGCUGGUCUGAGAGGAUGACCAGCCACACUGGAACUGAGACACGGUCCAGACUCCUACGGGAGGCAGCAGUGGGGAAUAUUGCACAAUGGGCGCAAGCCUGAUGCAGCCAUGCCGCGUGUAUGAAGAAGGCCUUCGGGUUGUAAAGUACUUUCAGCGAGGAGGAAGGCGUUAAGGUUAAUAACCUUGGCGAUUGACUUUACUCGCAGAAGAAGCACCGGCUAACUCCGUGCCAGCAGCCGCGGUAAUACGGAGGGUGCAAGCGUUAAUCGGAAUUACUGGGCGUAAAGCGCACGCAGGCGGUCUGUUAAGUCAGAUGUGAAAUCCCCGGGCUCAACCUGGGAACUGCAUUUGAAACUGGCAGGCUUGAGUCCUGUAGAGGGGGGUAGAAUUC